ACAAGCGGUGGAGCAUGUGGUUUAAUUCGAUGCAACGCGAAGAACCUUACCUGGGCUUGACAUCCACGGAACCUGCUGGAAACAGUGGGUGCCUUUCGGGAGCCGUGAGACAGGUGCUGCAUGGCUGUCGUCAGCUCGUGUCGUGAGAUGUUGGGUUAAGUCCCGCAACGAGCGCAACCCUUGUCUUUAAUUGCCAUCAUUCAGUUGGGCACUUUAAAGAGACUGUCGGUGUUAAACCGGAGGAAGGUGGGGAUGACGUCAAAUCAUCAUGCCCCUUAUGACCUGGGCUACACACGUGCUACAAUGGUUGGUACAACGAGUUGCGAGUCGGUGACGGCGAGCUAAUCUCUUAAAGCCAAUCUCAGUUCGGAUUGUAGGCUGCAACUCGCCUACAUGAAGUCGGAAUCGCUAGUAAUCGCGGAUCAGCACGCCGCGGUGAAUACGUUCCCGGGCCUU
Molecule: ribosomal RNA, 456 nt
Filed under: uncultured Streptococcus sp.
Lineage: Bacteria; Bacillati; Bacillota; Bacilli; Lactobacillales; Streptococcaceae
Description: bacterial SSU rRNA
Rfam family: Bacterial small subunit ribosomal RNA
Source: RNAcentral